This 242-nucleotide long non-coding RNA is filed under the name Medicago truncatula (barrel medic). RNAcentral's name for it is "long non-coding RNA (MTRU_LNC005275)". Lineage: Eukaryota; Viridiplantae; Streptophyta; Magnoliopsida; Fabales; Fabaceae. The record is from RNAcentral.
CUUUAUAAUAUUCCUAUGAACUAUAAAAAUAGGGAUUAUAAUAGGUAAACUAUUUAUGAAUUUAUUCCCAUCUCCAUGGGAACUUUAUUCCCACCCUUUUCCUUGGGAAAUUUUUUCUAUUCCCAGUAACAUUUUAUACCUGGGAAUAAAAUUUAGUAAACUUGUAACAAACAUAGGCAUAUACAUUCCAAUCAUUUUAUUCCCGGGAAUCAACAAUUAUAACUUGAAACAAACACACCCUA